This 224-nucleotide ribosomal RNA is filed under the name Shigella dysenteriae. RNAcentral describes it as "partial 16S ribosomal RNA". It matches the Rfam family "Bacterial small subunit ribosomal RNA", at positions 1 to 221 of the family's 1533-position model. Lineage: Bacteria; Pseudomonadati; Pseudomonadota; Gammaproteobacteria; Enterobacterales; Enterobacteriaceae. The record is from RNAcentral.
AAAUUGAAGAGUUUGAUCAUGGCUCAGAUUGAACGCUGGCGGCAGGCCUAACACAUGCAAGUCGAACGGUAACAGGAAACAGCUUGCUGUUUCGCUGACGAGUGGCGGACGGGUGAGUAAUGUCUGGGGAACUGCCUGAUGGAGGGGGAUAACUACUGGAAACGGUAGCUAAUACCGCAUAAUGUCGCAAGACCAAAGAGGGGGACCUUAGGGCCUCUUGCCAU